GAGACAAGCAUAUGACUACUGGCAGGAUCAACCAGGUAGCAUUCCUUUGGGACAUGCACACACACUCGCAUGAGCCCCGCCAAACCGUGAGGCUGCGAGCUCAAAGACGAGCAUUGGCCGUCGUUCAUGCUUAGGCAGUUUUGCAUUGCUUCAUUGGAUGGAGGCCUCCGAGAGCCCACCCACCCAAAGCACACAACAUUCCGCAUCAGAGAGCACGGGCAAACAACCUCAUGGGCCAAAGCAGCUGCCAGAUUGGGCAAAGCAUGCUGGAAACACGAGGCUUGCCUAACGUCUACCCAAUCGCCCAUUAGGCAACAGGGCAGAGAGAAACAAACGAACCAUCAAAUUCCUUCCAACAGGUAAGCAACACAGGAUACCGAA
Molecule: unclassified non-coding RNA, 381 nt
Filed under: Trattinnickia glaziovii
Lineage: Eukaryota; Viridiplantae; Streptophyta; Magnoliopsida; Sapindales; Burseraceae
Description: partial external transcribed spacer
Source: RNAcentral